CCUACGGGAGGCAGCAGUGGGGAAUAUUGGACAAUGGGCGGAACCCUGAUCCAGCGACGCCGCGUGAGUGAAGAAGGCCCUCGGUAUGUAAAGCUCUAUCAGCAGGGAAGAAGAAAUGACGGUACCUGAGUAAGCAGCCCCGGCUAACUACAUGCCAGCAGCCGCGCUAAUACGGAGGGGGCAGGCGUUCUCCGGAAUUACUGGGGGUCAAGGGCGCGUAGACGGUGAUGUAAGUCUGGAGUGAAAGGCGGGGGCCCAACCCCCGGACUGCGCUGGAAACUAGGUGACUGGAGUGGGCGAGAGGUAGGCGGAAUGCGUGGUGUAGCGGUGAAAUGCAUAGAUAUCACGCAGAACUCCGAUUGCGAAGGCAGCAUACCGGAGCCCGACUGACGCUGAGGCACGAAAGCGUGGGUAUCGAACAGGAUUAGAUACCCGGGUAGUC
This 442-nucleotide ribosomal RNA is filed under the name uncultured bacterium. RNAcentral describes it as "partial 16S ribosomal RNA". It matches the Rfam family "Bacterial small subunit ribosomal RNA", at positions 338 to 795 of the family's 1533-position model. The record is from RNAcentral.